RNAcentral lists this ribosomal RNA (708 nucleotides) under uncultured Acidimicrobiia bacterium. Its description in RNAcentral is "bacterial SSU rRNA". It matches the Rfam family "Bacterial small subunit ribosomal RNA", at positions 56 to 780 of the family's 1533-position model. The record is from RNAcentral. Lineage: Bacteria; Bacillati; Actinomycetota; Acidimicrobiia.
UGCAGUCGAACGCACUCGACCUUCGGGUCACAUGAGUGAGUGGCGAACGGGUGAGUAACACGUGAGAAACCUGUCCCGAAGACUGGAAUAACCCGAGGAAACUCGGGCUAAUACCGGAUAUCCCCACCGGAUCACAUGGUCUGGUGAGGAAAUGCUCCGGCGCUUCGGGAGGGUCUCGCGGCCUAUCAGCUAGUUGGUGAGGUAACGGCUCACCAAGGCAACGACGGGUAGCUGGUCUGAGAGGACGAUCAGCCACACUGGGACUGAGACACGGCCCAGACUCCUACGGGAGGCAGCAGUGGGGAAUAUUGCGCAAUGGGCGAAAGCCUGACGCAGCCACGCCGCGUGCGGGAUGAAGGCUCUAGGGUUGUAAACCGCUUUAGGCAGGGAAGAAAAUGACGGUACCUGCAGAAUAAGGUCCGGCCAACUACGUGCCAGCAGCCGCGGUAACACGUAGGGACCGAGCGUUGUCCGGAUUUAUUGGGCGUAAAGAGCUCGUAGGCGGUUCGGUAAGUCAGGUGUGAAAGCUCGAGGCUCAACCUCGAGAUGCCACCUGAUACUGCUGUGACUUGAGUCCGGUAGAGGAGUGUGGAAUUCCUGGUGUAGCGGUGAAAUGCGCAGAUAUCAGGAGGAACACCAAUUGCGAAGGCAGCACUCUGGGCCGGUACUGACGCUGAGGAGCGAAAGCGUGGGGAGCGAACAGGAUUA